GACCACGUGGCCUAACGGAUAGGGCGUCUGACUUCGGAUCAGAAGAUUGAGGGUUCGAAUCCCUUCGUGGUUA
RNAcentral lists this transfer RNA (73 nucleotides) under Equus caballus (horse). Its description in RNAcentral is "tRNA-Arg (TCG) (tRNA-Arg-TCG-3-1)". It matches the Rfam family "tRNA". Rfam says of the family: Transfer RNA (tRNA) molecules are approximately 80 nucleotides in length. Their secondary structure includes four short double-helical elements and three loops (D, anti-codon, and T loops). The record is from Rfam by way of RNAcentral. Lineage: Eukaryota; Metazoa; Chordata; Mammalia; Perissodactyla; Equidae.